Molecule: non-coding RNA, 1677 nt
Organism: Misgurnus anguillicaudatus (oriental weatherfish)
Lineage: Eukaryota; Metazoa; Chordata; Actinopteri; Cypriniformes; Cobitidae
Source: RefSeq, a predicted model, not a curated record
CAGCACAAGACGUCAUUUAGACGUUGUUUUUUGGGCUAAAUCACGUCGGCCCGUCAUGACCUUCAUUUAGUCCAAAAAAAGACGUUGAAAACUGGUCUUUGUUUGGUCCGUCUAAUUCAGUCCAAAUUUAGCCUAAAAUUAGACGUCUUUUUCGGACCACUUUUCAACGUGUCUCCAUUCAAUAAUAAUCCUGACAAAAUAUGCAUGAAUGUAUAAAUACUGAGCACAUUGAACGAUAAUGAAACAUAUGCUUUGUUUAACCUAUUAAUAUUUCUGUUUAUUUUAAUUAAAUAAAUAUCUUAAAUGUGCUCUAAACAGGUCAUUUCGGUCCUGUACAGCACUGAUAGAAGCACUUCAUUUUCAUCUUUUAACAAAUAUCUUUAUUUUCUUUUAAUAUGAUAUUAUUGGCAGAGGCGCGCGUCCGUCUCAUGCUUUGUGAUCACGUGAUUAUUCAACGGGGAGACGCGCGUUCUGGAUUUACAGUUUCUCCUCAGACAAGUGUUUCUGUUUUGUGGUCGAUUCUGGGGUAAGUUUCCUUAAAUUCGUGGUUACUUUAUUGAAAUUAGUUCACAGGGAUGUUAAUUCAGUUGUCAGUAUAUGUCGAUACGACUAAUAAAUGAUCAAUUUGAAUGUUUAUCGUUUGUUAGUAAUGUUAGCUCGAGCGCUGUCAGCUUGACUGAGCUCGUCGCGCAGGUGACGAGCAGCUUACGGCUAGCCUGAUUGAGCUCGUGGCACAGCUGUGAGCUAGCAGUUAACAUCCUUUUCUUGGUGUGUCUUGAUGUUUUCUAUUGGCUAAAGACAAUAAAAGCAUAGAGAUAUAUAAAGCAAAGACAACUAUAAGAUAAUCCUUCAGGAGCCAGUAAAACAUAUAGUUACAGCACUAAACAUACUUGUUAUGGGUGCAAAUAAGGAGACUUACACAUGUCUCUGUGAAACUGACAAUCUCAGGUAGGAGCUGCUGGUUUGAUGUUGGCAGUAUGGAUCACGGUCUGUGACUGAUGAGGAGCUGGUCUGGAGACAUGAAGAGGUUGUCAACAGAGGUCUGAAGCUAAUACCUGCCACGGUCUGAUUGGUAUUUCAUGAGGAAUCAUGGGUUCCUUGGUAUUUGAAUUAUGUUGAACCAGGCAAGUACUCCAUCUUUCGAUCAUGUGUUCUGUCUGCUUACACAUUCCUAGCCAGAAUAACAUUUCGUGCUCUUAGCUUAGACUUCUCAGCGUGUGCGCAUAUCUCAGGUCAGAUAUGACUAUUUUCUAAUCUUCACUGGUCAAUGAAAGUUUGUCUUAAAAGUCAAUAAUGUAUGUGGGAAAUUGUCUCCUCUUUGCAGGCCAUCCAUCCAAGAUCAUCUAUCUGAGCUGCUGAAAACUGCCUCGGUACGGAUCUGUUGGAGCUUUGUGUCACUGACUGAAUUUCUGCAAAUUCCUGUUCCGUGUCAUAUUGCUUAUGCAAGACUGAAUCCAUAAAGGUGAUGGUCUGUGGAGACUGUGGGGGAUUCCUUCUGCUGUCAUUUAAACAUGAGCAGGAGUAAUGACGGGUUUAAAUGGACGCAACUAAUAUUAUGUCAGAGUCCGCUGCUUAUGCUGUAACCAUAAAGCAACCAGGACAACACACCUGGAGUGACCGAGAGCAGGAUGAAGGAGGAAUCGGAUGAGAAAAUGUCAACUGGUGCCCAUGAGCAGG